UUUGUGGAGGGUUCGAUUCUGGCUCAGGAUGAACGCUGGCGGCGUGCUUAACACAUGCAAGUCGAACGGGAUCCAUCAGGCUUUGCUUGGUGGUGAGAGUGGCGAACGGGUGAGUAAUGCGUGACCGACCUGCCCCAUGCACCGGAAUAGCUCCUGGAAACGGGUGGUAAUGCCGGAUGCUCCAUCACACCGCAUGGUGUGUUGGGAAAGCCUUUGCGGCAUGGGAUGGGGUCGCGUCCUAUCAGCUUGAUGGCGGGGUAACGGCCCACCAUGGCUUCGACGGGUAGCCGGCCUGAGAGGGCGACCGGCCACAUUGG
Molecule: ribosomal RNA, 317 nt
Filed under: Bifidobacterium breve
Lineage: Bacteria; Bacillati; Actinomycetota; Actinomycetes; Bifidobacteriales; Bifidobacteriaceae
Description: bacterial SSU rRNA
Rfam family: Bacterial small subunit ribosomal RNA
Source: RNAcentral